RNAcentral lists this ribosomal RNA (433 nucleotides) under uncultured bacterium. Its description in RNAcentral is "partial 16S ribosomal RNA". It matches the Rfam family "Bacterial small subunit ribosomal RNA", at positions 29 to 507 of the family's 1533-position model. The record is from RNAcentral.
AACGAACGCUGGCGGCAUGCCUAACACAUGCAAGUCGAACGAGACCUUCGGGUCUAGUUGCGCACGGGUGCGUAACGCGUGGGAACCUGCCCUUAGGUUCGGAAUAACUCCCCGAAAGGGGUGCUAAUACCGGAUAAUGUCUUCGGACCAAAGAUUUAUCGCCUUUGGAUGGGCCCGCGUUGGAUUAGCUAGUUGGUAGGGUAAAAGCCUACCAAGGAGACGAUCCAUAGCUGGUCUGAGAGGAUGAUCAGCCACACUGGGACUGAGACACGGCCCAGACCCCUACGGGAGGCAGCAGUGGGGAGUAUUGGACACUGGGCGCAAGCCUAAUCCCGCCAUGCCGCGUGAGUGAUGAAGGCCUUAGGGUUGUAAAGCUCUUUUACCCGGGAUGAUAAUGACAGUACCGGGAGAAUAAGCUCCGGCUAACUCCGUG